GGAUUGACACAUCGGUCGUGCCUUAAGGGGUAUGAACUGGUGUAGUCAAUUUCUCACCUUCUGGAGAACCGCGCUGUCCUUAAUUGGGUGACGCGGGGAACCAGGACCUUUACUUUGAAAAAUUAGAGUGUUUAAAGCAGGCAUUUUGCUUGAAUACAUUAGCAUGGAAUAAUAAAUAGGACGGCAUGAUUCUAUUUUGUUGGUUUCUAGGAUCACCGUAAUGAUUAAUAGGGAUAGUUGGG
RNAcentral lists this ribosomal RNA (242 nucleotides) under uncultured Glomus. RNAcentral's name for it is "partial 18S ribosomal RNA". It matches the Rfam family "Eukaryotic small subunit ribosomal RNA", at positions 665 to 886 of the family's 1831-position model. Lineage: Eukaryota; Fungi; Glomeromycota; Glomeromycetes; Glomerales; Glomeraceae. The record is from RNAcentral.